Pyrus x bretschneideri (Chinese white pear) is the source of this 3429-nucleotide RNA transcript. RefSeq lists it as uncharacterized. The record is from RefSeq and is a predicted model, not a curated record. NCBI's taxonomy places the organism in Eukaryota, Viridiplantae, Streptophyta, Magnoliopsida, Rosales, Rosaceae. The transcript is spliced from 13 exons.
UGAAACCGGAAGAAAACCCUAAAAAGAAAACGUCAAUCCUUUUAUUUCUCCAUCUCUUCCGUCUCCGGCCGGUCUCGGUUUGGUCGUCUCUUCGGUCAUGUCUCCCUCAAUCAAUGGCAACCUCUCUACAUCACUCAGGAUUACUUUUUAUUUGGAAUUGAGAAGCAUUGUUGGAAACGAUCAUUGUCAACUAUCUGAUUGCAAUGGACAAAGAUUGGCUAACAUUUUCGAGACCAACAACAGAAUAUAGAGAGGGUGCACAAAAGUUUGUACAAGUAGCUAAAGAAUAUGGAGGAAAUCGAGAUAAGAUCAUUUGCCCAUGUAUAAUAUGUCAAAACCAAUGUUUUCAACAACCUGCGAUUGUGUAUGAACACUUGGUUAUGAAUGGAAUAGAUCCUUCAUAUACUACUUGGGUGUUCCAUGGUGAACAAGAACCUAUUCUUCAACAACAUGACUAUGCCAACAUAACAGAAACAUAUCAAAUGUAUAGGGAUGUCUUGGCUGAAGAUGAUGGAACUGGAAAAGCAAAUUUGCUAAUUGGAGAUGAGAAUUUCAAAGAAAAGGUUGAAGAAGCUGAAGCUCCUUUAUAUGAAGGUUGUACGAAGUAGACAAAGUUGUUAGCAACUGUAGUUUUAUACAAGAUUAAAGCUUCAAAUGGUGCAACAGAUAAGUUUUUUGACGAGCUCCUCCAAGCCCUAAAAGACAUAUUUCCGGAAGGUAAUACACUUCCGAAUUCAAUGAAUUCGACAAAGAAGUUACUUAAGGUGUUUGAUUUAGGGUUCGAGAAAAUAGAUGCAUGUGUAAAUGAUUGCUGCUUAUUUUGGAAAGACUUUGAACAACUUGAGACAUGUCCAAAGUGCGGUUCUUCACAUUGGCAGGUUGGUAAACGUAAUAAUCACAUUUACAAAGGAGUUUCUGCAAAGGUGUUGCGCUACUUUCCUAUUAUACCAAGAUUUAAGCGAAUAAAGAUGAUGACAUGGCCAAAGACUUAAUGUGGCACCAUACCAACAAAAGUCAGGAUGGUAAGAUGCGACAUCUAGUUGUGACCAAUCCAUUUCGAAGCCACAAGGUAAUUCAAAUAUCUAUAAGUAUCAUACCCUAAACAAUUUUUAUUGUAAGUUAAUUACCAAUUACUGUAUAAUUUGCACUCGGUUAGGAACCAUGGAUAGAUUACCGCAAUUUUCUUUAAGUUUUGAAAGGGUUUAUUCACUAAUUCUUCUUUUGGGUUAUUUUGGAUUUGGACUUUGCAUUGGAUGUCUUGGAGAUGUUAAUUUGGAUUGGAUUUGGAUAAUAAUGUUAAUAUGUGUUGCUGGGCACAAUCUAUGCUUCAAUACUCCCCUAAUAUGUGUUGCUGCAGUGCAUCCUCAAUUCUUGAAGACAGCUUCUGUGAGUGUAAUAUGUGCUGCUGCUGUGCAUUGCAGUGCAGCGGCUGUAACCUUAUUAAAAAUGAUGUAUAAGAGAGUCCCAACCCAUGCCCACCCCUAAUCAGAGUCCCAAUAAACUUUUAAUUUUAUGGCUAUAACAGAGUCCCAAUGAUGAUAUAAUUGUAAAAUAAUUAUCAUAAUAAAAGUUAAUAUAUUUUUUAUUGGAAAGAAAACUUAAUUAAAAACCCAAGAAGCAAAGAAACUGCCGUUCAAAGUUCCCACUAGUCGCGUGCAGUUAUAUUUGGUUAUCCCCUCAAUCCUUCUCUUCACGUUGUUUUUUUUUUUUACUAGGAUGCAAAAGAUUAUUCACUGAUCUCUCUCUAUAAAUUUGGUGUCUAUGGAUUUUGAAGGUUUGCCAGACAGUGACGAGAUGCACUCAAGUGAUGAUGUGAAUGAAGCAAAAAAGAGAAAGGGAAGAGGUCCAACAAUGUUGGAUUAUAAUGCUGUGUUAAAGGCCAAACAAAUUGGUGUUCAAUUCAAUGACAAAGGACAACAUUUUGGUGCGGGAUCAGCGAGUUUGAGUUCGUUGGCAGGGAUCCUUGCAAGACAACUAAUACCAGUAACUUACGCAAGUUGGGAUGAGGUUCCUACAAUUUUGAAAGAUAAAUUAUGGGCUGCUAUGAAGCAAAAAUACAAUUUGGCACCUUGUCGUAAGAAGAUAAUAUUAAUACAAAUGUCUGGGUGUUGGCGUACAUACCAAGCCACAUUGACAAAACAAAUAAGAUCCCUUCAUGAUGGUCCUGAUGCAAUGGAACAAAUGCAACUCUUGAAGCCUGAUAAUGUUGAGAAACAAGCUGAUUGGGACAAAUUUGUUAAACAUCGAUGCUCUCCUGAGUUUGCUGCAAUUAGUGAGAAGUUCAAAAAGUUGAAAUCAUUCCAUACUCUCCCUCAUGUGAUGAGUCGUAAAGGAUAUGCACGCUUGGAGGACGAGCUGGAUGACAUUAAGUUGGCUAAUGAAAUGCCAACAACAGACAAUGGUUCUAUAAAAGGUGAUGCCUUAUCACAAGCACUUGGACCUGAACAUCGAGGUCGACCUCGAGGAGGUGGUUAUGGGGUUACACCUUCUAGAUAUGAUGCCCAAACAUAUGCCAGCAUGAGUAAUCGAGAGCUUAGAGACCGACUACAAAACGUCGAAGGAAAAUUGCGGGAAGUGUUUGAUUUUGUGUUGGCUAAACAACAAAAUGAGGGAAAUGGUAAAGAAACUAAUACCAAUGAUGCAAUUCAAGUCUCCACAAAUAGGCCCCAGUCGCAGGGAAGCAGUAUAGAUCUCCAAAGAACUAAGAAUGGUGUAAAACAGGUUCCCAAUUCCAGUUACCAGGUUUCCAGAUCAUCUCCCCAGUUACAAUGUAAUAAGAAAAGUGCACUAGAGGCUAACAAUGGUUCUAGACACUCUUCAAAAGCUAGUUCUCAGGUGAUGAAGAUGAAGGUUAUGUUCGGGCAAAUUGUGAGGUCAUUCCUGUGUAUAACUAGACUAUUAUUGAAUGAAAACAUUUUUCACGAAUUUCUCUACCUUUUUCUGGAUCUCUUCUUAGGAAAACUGAUAUUUUUUGUAAGAUGUACGCAUGUUUGUGACUCUGUAAGAUGUAUGUGUAUGGUUGUUUUUUUUCUUCAAAUCAGAAUUAAAUGAAAAUGAAAAACUUCUCACCAUAAAGUCCCCAGCAUGUAUUGUUCCCAUCUCCACCAACUGAUCAUUCUCUAAUCCCAGUUGUUUCACUAUGUAUUCUUUUGCUCGGCCAAUUUCCUUCUUUGUUAUUAGUUAAUUAGAUUAUUUUUAUUUUGUGAGGCCAUUUCUAUGUACAGAUAUACUAGGACAUAGCAGAUGUUGAUAAUUAGAUUGUUUUUGUUUUGUUAUUAGAUACAAUGUGAUAGAAGUGCACGAGAAGCUGACGAUGCUUCUAGACAAGCUUCCAAUGCUAGUUCCCAGAGAAGUAGUCCAAACAUAGAAAGAGACAGCAUAAAGAGAAAAGAAGGUUCUAAAGCCACUUCUCAGUUACAACCUGUUGGU